UACGUAGGGGGCGAGCGUUAUCCGGAUUUAUUGGGCGUAAAGCGUGCGUAGGCGGUUUGUUAAGUCCAGAAUUAAAGCCCGAGGCUUAACCUCGGUUCGUUCUGGAAACUGGCAGACUAGAGUAUGGUAGAGGCAAAUGGAAUUCCUAGUGUAGCGGUGAAAUGCGUAGAUAUUAGGAGGAACACCAGUGGCGAAGGCGGCUUACUGGACUGUAACUGACGUUGAGGCUCGAAAGCGUGGGGAGCAAACAGG
Molecule: ribosomal RNA, 252 nt
Filed under: uncultured bacterium
Lineage: Bacteria
Description: partial 16S ribosomal RNA
Rfam family: Bacterial small subunit ribosomal RNA
Source: RNAcentral